This 54-nucleotide non-coding RNA is filed under the name Heterosigma akashiwo. Lineage: Eukaryota; Raphidophyceae; Chattonellales; Chattonellaceae. The record is from RNAcentral.
UUCAACGGCUGGUCAAGCUAGUGACGGACAUGAGGGGGAGAAUCCAAGACCAGC